This 450-nucleotide ribosomal RNA is filed under the name uncultured bacterium. RNAcentral's name for it is "partial 16S ribosomal RNA". It matches the Rfam family "Bacterial small subunit ribosomal RNA", at positions 338 to 795 of the family's 1533-position model. The record is from RNAcentral.
CCUACGGGUGGCAGCAGUAAGGAAUAUUGGACAAUGGCGGAGACGCUGAUCCAGCUAUCCCGCGUGCAGGAUGAAGGACCUAUGGUUUGUAAACUGCUUUAGACUGGGGCGAAAAAGUGGGAUUUAUCCUACAUUGACGGUACCAGUAAAAUAAGCACCGGCUAACUCCGUGCCAGCAGCCGCGGUCAUACGGAGGGUGCAAGAGUUAUCCGGAAUCACGGGUGAUAAAGCGUCGUUAUGAGUCAGGAGUGAAAGGCCACGGCUUAACCGUGGGAUUGCUUUUGAUACUGGCGAGCUUGGAUUAGGACGAGGUUGGCGGAAUGUGGCAAGUAGCGGUGAAAUGCAUAGAUAUGCCAUAGAAUACCGAUUGCGAAGGCAGCUGACUAGACCUAUAUUGACGCUGAGGCACGAAAGCGUGGGGAGCGAACAGGAUUAGAUACCCCAGUAGUC